This 729-nucleotide ribosomal RNA is filed under the name uncultured eukaryote. Its description in RNAcentral is "SSU rRNA". It matches the Rfam family "Eukaryotic small subunit ribosomal RNA", at positions 670 to 1426 of the family's 1831-position model. The record is from RNAcentral.
CGGGUGCACUGAUCCGGCCGGGCCUUUCCCUCUGUGGAACCCCAUGGCCUUCACUGGCUGUGCGGGGGAAACAGGACUUUUACUGUGAAAAAAUUAGAGUGCUCCAGGCAGGCCUAUGCUCGAAUACAUUAGCAUGGAAUAAUAGAAUAGGACGAGUGGUUCUAUUUUGUUGGUUUCUAGGACCGCCGUAAUGAUUAAUAGGGACAGUCGGGGGCAUCAGUAUUCAAUUGUCAGAGGUGAAAUUCUUGGAUCUAUUGAAGACUAACUACUGCGAAAGCAUUUGCCAAGGAUGUUUUCAUUGAUAAGGAACGAAAGUUAGGGGAUCGAAGACGAUCAGAUACCGUCGUAGUCUUAACUAUAAACUAUGCCGACUAGGGAUCGGACGAUGUUAUUUCUUGACGCGUUCGGCACCUUUCGAGAAAUCAAAGUGCUUGGGCUCCAGGGGGAGUAUGGUCGCAAGGCUGAAACUCAAAGAAAUUGACGGAAGGGCACCACCAGGGGUGGAACCUGCGGCUUAAUUUGACUCAACACGGGGAAACUCACCAGGUCCAGACACAAUGAGGAUUGACAGAUUGAGAGCUCUUUCUUGAUUUUGUGGGUGGUGGUGCAUGGCCGUUCUUAGUUGGUGGAGUGAUUUGUCUGCUUAAUUGCGAUAACGAACGAGACCUUAACCUGCUAAAUAGCCCGUACUGCUCUGGCAGUUCGCCGGCUUCUUAGAGGGACUAUCGG